GCUCAGACGAACGCUGGCGGCGUGCCUAAUACAUGCAAGUCGAGCGGACAGAUGGGAGCUUGCUCCCUGAUGUUAGCGGCGGACGGGUGAGUAACACGUGGGUAACCUGCCUGUAAGACUGGGAUAACUCCGGGAAACCGGGGCUAAUACCGGAUGGUUGUCUGAACCGCAUGGUUCAGACAUAAAAGGUGGCUUCGGCUACCACUUACAGAUGGACCCGCGGCGCAUUAGCUAGUUGGUGAGGUAACGGCUCACCAAGGCGACGAUGCGUAGCCGACCUGAGAGGGUGAUCGGCCACACUGGGACUGAGACACGGCCCAGACUCCUACGGGAGGCAGCAGUAGGGAAUCUUCCGCAAUGGACGAAAGUCUGACGGAGCAACGCCGCGUGAGUGAUGAAGGUUUUCGGAUCGUAAAGCUCUGUUGUUAGGGAAGAACAAGUGCCGUUCAAAUAGGGCGGCACCUUGACGGUACCUAACCAGAAAGCCACGGCUAACUACGUGCCAGCAGCCGCGGUAAUACGUAGGUGGCAAGCGUUGUCCGGAAUUAUUGGGCGUAAAGGGCUCGCAGGCGGUUUCUUAAGUCUGAUGUGAAAGCCCCCGGCUCAACCGGGGAGGGUCAUUGGAAACUGGGGAACUUGAGUGCAGAAGAGGAGAGUGGAAUUCCACGUGUAGCGGUGAAAUGCGUAGAGAUGUGGAGGAACACCAGUGGCGAAGGCGACUCUCUGGUCUGUAACUGACGCUGAGGAGCGAAAGCGUGGGGAGCGAACAGGAUUAGAUACCCUGGUAGUCCACGCCGUAAACGAUGAGUGCUAAGUGUUAGGGGGUUUCCGCCCCUUAGUGCUGCAGCUAACGCAUUAAGCACUCCGCC
RNAcentral lists this ribosomal RNA (869 nucleotides) under bacterium. RNAcentral's name for it is "bacterial SSU rRNA". It matches the Rfam family "Bacterial small subunit ribosomal RNA", at positions 22 to 873 of the family's 1533-position model. The record is from RNAcentral.